Molecule: RNase P RNA, 393 nt
Filed under: Ornithinimicrobium laminariae
Lineage: Bacteria; Bacillati; Actinomycetota; Actinomycetes; Micrococcales; Ornithinimicrobiaceae
Description: Ornithinimicrobium sp. Arc0846-15 RNase P RNA component class A
Rfam family: Bacterial RNase P class A
About the family: Ribonuclease P (RNase P) is a ubiquitous endoribonuclease, found in archaea, bacteria and eukarya as well as chloroplasts and mitochondria. Its best characterised activity is the generation of mature 5'-ends of tRNAs by cleaving the 5'-leader elements of precursor-tRNAs. Cellular RNase Ps are ribonucleoproteins.
Source: RNAcentral
UGAGUCGGCCAGGCGGUCGCGUCAAGACGUUUGGGCCUAACUCAAACGGACUUGCCGAGGAACGUCCGGGCUCCACAGAGCAAGGUGGUGGUUAACAGCCACCCGGGGUAACCCGCGGGACAGUGCCACAGAAAACAAACCGCCAUCGGCAACGGUGGUAAGGGUGAAACGGUGCGUGUAAGAGACCACCAGCGCUCCAGGUGACUGGAGCGGCUAGGUAAACCCCACCUGGAGCAAGACCAGACAGUAUGCGUUCGAGGGCUGCUCGCCCGAGUAUGCGGGUAGGUCGCUAGAGGCGGCUGGCAACAGUCGUCGUAGAUGGAUGACCGUCACCAGCACAAGGCCAGUAAUGGCGUGCUGGGACAGGACCCGGCGUAUCGGCUGACUCAUCCA